GCCGGGGUGGCUGAGCGGACCAAGGCGACGGUCUCGAAAACCGUUGGUCGAAAGACCUCAAGGGUUCAAAUCCCUUCCCUGGCG
Molecule: transfer RNA, 84 nt
Filed under: Thermoplasmata archaeon
Lineage: Archaea; Methanobacteriati; Thermoplasmatota; Thermoplasmata
Description: tRNA-Ser
Rfam family: tRNA
About the family: Transfer RNA (tRNA) molecules are approximately 80 nucleotides in length. Their secondary structure includes four short double-helical elements and three loops (D, anti-codon, and T loops). Further hydrogen bonds mediate the characteristic L-shaped molecular structure. tRNAs have two regions of fundamental functional importance: the anti-codon, which is responsible for specific mRNA codon recognition, and the 3' end, to which the tRNAs corresponding amino acid is attached (by aminoacyl-tRNA synthetases). tRNAs cope with the degeneracy of the genetic code in two manners: having more than one tRNA (with a specific anti-codon) for a particular amino acid; and 'wobble' base-pairing, i.e. permitting non-standard base-pairing at the 3rd anti-codon position.
Source: RNAcentral